CAGUAGCCACGGGAAUACGUAGGGUGCAAGCGUUAAUCGGAAUUACUGGGCGUAAAGCGUGCGCAGGCGGUUUGUUAAGACAGAUGUGAAAUCCCCGGGCUUAACCUGGGAACUGCAUUUGUGACUGGCAAGCUAGAGUCUGGCAGAGGGGGGUGGAAUUCCGCGUGUAGCAGUGAAAUGCGUAGAUAUGCGGAGGAACACCGAUGGCGAAGGCAGCCCCCUGGGCCAACACUGACGCUCAUGCACGAAAGCGUGGGGAGCAAACAGGAUUAGAUACCCCAGUAGUCCCUGUCUCUUAUAC
Molecule: ribosomal RNA, 301 nt
Filed under: uncultured bacterium
Lineage: Bacteria
Description: partial 16S ribosomal RNA
Rfam family: Bacterial small subunit ribosomal RNA
Source: RNAcentral